AACCAUUCUCACCUGCGGCUAGACCUGCGGAAGGAUCAUUACUGAGUCACGUGCUCAAACAACCCUUCUGUGGACCUGAAAUAAAACCGUUGCCUCGGCGGGCGGUCCCCCCCAAACCAACCCCACGUGGUGGGUUAGGGGAGACCAGACAGUCCGGUACGCUUAAGGCGUCCGGCGCCAGCCGCUGGCCCCAAACAAUUAAACUCUAGUAAUCUUUACCUUCUGAGUUUCAAUAUUUAA
Molecule: unclassified non-coding RNA, 240 nt
Filed under: soil metagenome
Description: partial contains 5.8S ribosomal RNA, internal transcribed spacer 2, and large subunit ribosomal RNA
Source: RNAcentral